Molecule: long non-coding RNA, 685 nt
Organism: Armigeres subalbatus
Lineage: Eukaryota; Metazoa; Arthropoda; Insecta; Diptera; Culicidae
Exons: 3
Source: RefSeq, a predicted model, not a curated record
UCGGUGGAAAACUAAUUCCAUUUAAGCGUGUAAUGUUUUGUUUGCGGCUAGGGAAAAAUAAAAAAAAUCGAACAGUCAAAGUGCAGGACUCUUCGUUGCUUCCUGCUCUUUUAAAUUCUGCUAGUGGUUGACUAAUGGAUCAUUGGCUGCUGUGCCUUGUAAUGGUGAACUAUGAAGCUCACUGGAAACAGCCGUCAUACCCACCGCUGAUAAAGGCGCAUCUCCACGGAAGUUCUAAAGCAUGGUUAAUUUGAAAGGAUGCCGAAAGACAGCGGCCACAAUCAGCGCCGCCAUAUACGAACAUCACCACUCUUCACCAGCAGCAACACUUAUGCUACGUUUAGACAAGGCAGGUGAAUUGAGCAAGUCGCUUGAAUCUAACGCGAAUUGAACGUGUAAACACCUUAAUUCAAAUCACUUGAACGAAAAGAAAGUUGAACAUGUUCAACUUUUGGCAAGUCAACUGAAUUCAACUGAGUUGUUGCAUUAUGCUACCCAAGUAACCAUGGAGCUAUAUAUGCUUGCAAAUAAUACAGCCACAGACAAACAGACGUAACACUGAGGAAAUUCCCAUCGACCAUGACCUCAACGGUCGUUUUAAAAUCAACUGCUUGUGAGUUUCACAUCCAGGGGCGCGCGCAUCGUAUACCUUUGUAUUUGACAUCUCACACUAGCGCCUUCUGUU